CCCCAUCUUUUGAUGCAAAGCAGACUUAAUUUCCAAUUUCCUGACAUGCCGAUCAAGUGAGAUGCUGAAGAAAUCAGCGAGUAGCAACAGAUUCACUUUGCAACACUGGUGCAAUUGCUCUGAAGUCAGAGCAGUAACAAUUUGCUCCAGGCUAAACGUUUUUCCUAGCACACCCAACGCUCCUCUCACACAUAUGCAACAACAGCCAAGCAAAUCAGCGGCAACUCAACGGGGACCAGCCCCCAGCUGCAGUGGUGCGAGCAACUAAAACAAGACAAUAAUAUGGACAAAAUGCACCUUUCUUCAUUGAUGCUCUAAGCAAGGAGUAUAUUAGUGGGAUGUCGGGCUCAUCAGAUUGCCAGAAGAACAGCGAGCGUCUGCUGAGGCUAAGAACCCAGAAUUGUGAAAUGAAGAUCUGGAAGACUGCACUUUUUGCUGUUAUUAUUGUGGCAACAGCAUCAGCAAAGCCACUAUAUCAGGCUGGCAAAAGAUCCAGAUCAUCUGAAUCAUCGGAUUCCAGGUAUUUGCCAGCAUCAACAAAAUCAUCAGAGCUUUCUCUGUCAUCUGAUUCGUCGGAGUCCCCGCAAUUACUGAAAUCAUCAGGGUCAUCAGAGUGGUCAUCAGAGUCGUCAUCAGAGUCGUCGUCAGAGUCGUCUGAGUCAUCUGAGUCGUCUGAGUCAUCCAAGUCAUCAGAAUCAAAUGAGGAAAGCACAAUCACAUUAAUUUCUUCAGGAACAGAGAUGACGACUCCAGGGAUCAUCACAGAGAUAACUACUCCAGGGAUCAUCACAGAGAUAACUACUCCGGGGAUCAACACUGAGAUAACUACUCCGGGGAUCAACACUGAGAUGACGACUCCGGGGAUCAACACUGAGAUGACAACUUCAAAGGCCAUUGAAGCAACAACAACAAGUCCUGUUUCUAGGUGUAUCACAAUGGACAUAAUGACUACAAACCGUAGAGGGGACAACUGAGAAUCACUCUGAUUAUUACGAAACCAUUUACAAGCAGCAAAUCUUUCCAAAAAUAAUGUUAUUUGCUUCUGAUUCUUCUCUUACUUUCCCAUUGGUUGUGCGUAUUGUUGUCCUUAGAUAUGUAGGCCUACAUAACCUUCCUUCAGUGCCAUUUUGAAGUGAGGAAGGGACCACUGUCUUUUUAUAUACAUGUGAAUUGACAGUUUUCCAGUGCAGACUAUCUCUGUCUAUUUUUUUUAUCAUAAUAUGGGGUUUACUUGUGACUUAGGAAUAAAACUGUUAAUGCGGAGAACUCUCUGCUCCUUGGAUGAACAUAAGGACUGAACAGCAUUUUCAUUAUAAAAAAACAAAAACAAAUAAAUAAUGACAAUAAUGAUAGUAUAUUUAAAUAACAGGUGCUUUGAUGUCGUAAUAUGUUAUUAUUUCUUUUAAUUUUGAUACCCCAAUGGGAGAAUAGUAUGAACAAAGAUUUUAAAUAGAAUGGCAUCCCUUUAGAAUAUGGCUUCUUUUUGCGUCUUAUAUAUGGUAGUACCUCGUUAAUAAUGAAAAACAACUGCUGUAACCUGUUUAUAAUUGUCUAUUAAUGAUUUUAAAAGUGUUACAACCUAAAUAAACAACCUGAAUAUAAACCAU
This is a long non-coding RNA of Paramormyrops kingsleyae, 1607 nucleotides long. RefSeq lists it as uncharacterized. Lineage: Eukaryota; Metazoa; Chordata; Actinopteri; Osteoglossiformes; Mormyridae. The record is from RefSeq and is a predicted model, not a curated record.